RNAcentral lists this ribosomal RNA (301 nucleotides) under uncultured bacterium. RNAcentral's name for it is "partial 16S ribosomal RNA". It matches the Rfam family "Bacterial small subunit ribosomal RNA", at positions 509 to 808 of the family's 1533-position model. The record is from RNAcentral.
CAGCAGCCGCGGUAAUACGAAGGGGGCUAGCGUUGUUCGGAUUUACUGGGCGUAAAGCGCACGUAGGCGGAUCGAUCAGUCAGGGGUGAAAUCCCAGAGCUCAACUCUGGAACUGCCUUUGAUACUGUCGAUCUGGAGUAUGGAAGAGGUGAGUGGAAUUCCGAGUGUAGAGGUGAAAUUCGUAGAUAUUCGGAGGAACACCAGUGGCGAAGGCGGCUCACUGGUCCAUUACUGACGCUGAGGUGCGAAAGCGUGGGGAGCAAACAGGAUUAGAUACCCCAGUAGUCCCUGUCUCUUUACC